ACAGAAAGCAACAUUUAUUCAGACAUGCUUUAUGAAGCCACAUGUUAAACCGUGUCAAAAUGUCUACGGGCGUAUAAACCUUAUCAGUCCAAUUAUUAGUAAGAGCAUUUGUACAAUGACAUAUAAUACAUAACAAUAUUACAAAGCUCAACAUACAUUUGCAACUCAGCUACAGCUAUAAGCCAGUUUGAGGGGAUAAAUCUAUUGUUUUUCUACAAUGACGGACCAACCAACCACAAGGAGUGUGUGACAAGAUUAAUAACUUAAAUAUUAAGUAGAAAAUGUGUUAUGUGCAAUUUGAUAUUCAAAAUAACAAUAGAUGAAUUAACAUAGUAUCUACCGUUAGACCUAAUAGUACAACUUUAAACUUUAAAAAUAUAAAACUAAUCAUGUUUACAUAUUUUACUUCCUAAAGUCUUGGACAAGGCAUUAUCAUCCUUGCUGUGCAUUUGUAAAGGACAAAUGUUAGGUAGGAACCACAUUUGAGUUCACAUCAAAAUGGAUCAGAUCCUUCUGUUUCAAUUGGUCAAUACCCAAUACCCUCAAAUCUAUGAAGCAGACCAAGGUUAAACCUAAUGCUAAGAUAAAAUAAGAAAAUACUUGACAAAACAAGAUUUCAUAGCCUUAAAAGCCCCUUUAAAACAAAAUGGAUGCCACGAACGGUCUAAUACCACAGUCCUUCAAAACCACUUAGCUUCUAAGUGUUAGUCUGUUUUAGCACAUAGCAACACCCAGGACUGCAUUUCAGUGUGAUACAAAUUAUCUGGUCUCUGUCUAAAGAGAGAUCUAAAGAAGAGAGUAGAUCUGUCAGGAAGUGGCUAGUUCCUGUGUGCCCUAUUUAAAAGCCAAGUGAACGGGGCUGCUUUCAAGAGCACAGGGGCUAGGUGAGAGUAGAUACAACACAACAUUACUGGGGCUAGGUGAGAGUAGAUACAGCACAACAUUACUGGGGCUAGGUGAGAGUAGAUACAACACAACAUUACUGGGGCUAGGUGAGAGUAGAUACAACACAACAUUACUGGGGCUAGGUGAGAGUAGAUACAACACAACAUUACUGGGGCUAGGUGAGAGUAGAUACAACACAACAUUACUGGGGCUAGGUGAGGGUAGAUACAACACAACAUUACUGGGGCUAGGUGAGAGUAGAUACAACACAACAUUACUGGGGCUAGGUGAGAGUAGGCAUCAAGUGUACUCACUUUUACAGUAGCUCAGUAAUCAUACCGCCUACACUCUUAGAAAAAAGGGUUCCAAAAGGGUUCUUUGGCUGUCCCAUAGGAUAACUAUUUUUUGUUCCAGGUAGAACUCUUUGGGUUCUUCUGGGAAAGGGUUCUACAUGGAACCCAAUAGGGUUCUACCUGGAAUCAAAAGGGUUCUUUCUGGAACCUAAAAUGGUUCUUCAAAGGGUUCUCUUAUUGAAGAACCCUUUUAGGUUCUAGAUUUCUUUCUAAGAGUGUAGUUCCUGUUUUGCAAUGUGCCGUCUGAAACCUUUUGUGAAAUGGUAAAUAAUCCUAGCCUGAUAGGUAUUUUCCAGAACAGAGUUAAGGUCACAUUUGCUAUGCAUUUGGAACUGGUGAAAAGUUUGCACCUGUUUUUAAUGGAUGAAACACCAAAGCUACAACAGCGAACUGUCUUCAUUUAUACUUAAUAAAUGAUUCACUUUCUGAACCUUUAUUCUUACCUUUUCAUUUAACCUUUUAUGUCCAAUUCCCGAUGGUAAACUUACUGUGCAAUAUUGAUACCUGAUGUAAAGUGCAAAUGUUGAAUAAAUGGGGCCCUUAGUGGUCAGAAGGGAGGCUUGUAAAAUAGGUGUGUUGUCAAAUUUGAUGUACAUCCUGCCAUUGAGAUUUGGACUGGCAGAGCUUGUCUCAGACAUUUUAUAAAAGCCCUGAAUAUUCUUUUAACACUUGGAAGUAGUUAUUCAAGACAAAUAACUUCUGAAGAAAAUUAUAUUUUCAUGAACUACAUGAACACAACCCACCUCAUACAUGAUUACUACAACUACAUAAACACAACCCACCUCAUACAUGAUUACUACAACUACAUGAACACAACCCACAUCAUACAUGAUUACUACAACUACAUGAACACAAC
Oncorhynchus tshawytscha (Chinook salmon) is the source of this 2094-nucleotide long non-coding RNA. The record is from Ensembl. Lineage: Eukaryota; Metazoa; Chordata; Actinopteri; Salmoniformes; Salmonidae.